AUCCAUUAUGGCAGAUUAGGGCUUGUAUGAAUGCAAAGAUAGGUAGAGGAUGCUGACCGUAGGAUUCUCAGACAUCCAUCUUUGUAGUUCUUGGAAUAAACCAUUGUCUUAGCAGGUUCUUCCUCCAGGGUUCUGUGAGCCUCAUCAGCUCGCCAUCGGUCUCACCUCGGUCAUCUAAUCUUGCGUUCUCUCAGUCCUUGCAGUCAUUCCUCUUGCCAUGAGAUUUCUGUCCCUGUUGCGUCCCCUUUGUUUGUCACGUCCUGUCCCGUGUCACGGGUGUCUGCACGUAUUUGUGCCGGAGCUGCUCUGCCCUGCCGCGUAGCCUGGUGUAAUAGGACGCAUCCUGGGGGCUUGAAAUUUGUAAUGUGGGGUGUAGUUGGAUUCUAGAUGGGAUUUGUAGAUGGACACAAGGUGCCUGGAGCAGUGAAGUUAUCCUGCAGCCCUUUGACUUUUGUCCUUUCUUUCAGAUCCAGGCGGAUGAAAUCCGUGGCAGAGCACCCCAUCCUGGCUGAGGGGCUUCCUCCGAGCAGGAAGUAAAGCUGGAUAUCAGCAGUCAAGGCAAUCCAUUUGGAGUAGGCCGAGCCCCCCCACCCCCCAACCGGCCGAUGGAUCGGGUUUACUGCUCUUGUGAGCCCUGUGCAGGUAUUGCAGGACUCUGUGAUGAAGCCCUGAACAUUUGUUUAAAGGUGCCAUCCGGCUGGCCUUUGGCAGCUGCCGAGGAGUUGCGGCACACCCUGCCAUGAUGGCAUCGGCCUCCAAGCGUUGCUGAAGCUAAUGGCAUUAGGAGACGCUAUGAGGCAGCAGCCCAGUGACAGCGAGAACUUCCCAGAUGGCAAGGCGGCCUUCUUUUGCGCCUGAUGCAGAUUGUCAUCCCCAGAUGUCUGAGAGAUAAGUCGA
Molecule: long non-coding RNA, 897 nt
Organism: Passer domesticus (house sparrow)
Lineage: Eukaryota; Metazoa; Chordata; Aves; Passeriformes; Passeridae
Exons: 5
Source: RefSeq, a predicted model, not a curated record